Molecule: long non-coding RNA, 930 nt
Organism: Lathyrus oleraceus (garden pea)
Lineage: Eukaryota; Viridiplantae; Streptophyta; Magnoliopsida; Fabales; Fabaceae
Exons: 2
Source: RefSeq, a predicted model, not a curated record
UGAGCUGCAGACCCAUGGAAAUCUAUCCCAGCCAAUGGGGGUUUAGUGAGUAAGCCUGCCACAAUAUGGUUCAGCAAUUGGCCUAAGGCUCACUGCCAAAUCUGGAGCCAACAUCAAACAACAAGAAGUAUGGAUAAGGGUAUGUGAAUGUGAUUGACUCAUGCAUGCGCAACCACAGUCUUAAAUGCACGUGGCCUUGGAAAACUGCUGCAGUGAAUGAUGAUUAAUGGACCUAAGUGUUUAAAGCACGUGAAGAAAAAGUUUGAAUGAAAUCCAAAACGCCCGUUCCUUCCACAUCCUUUUUCAACCAUUGUCUCUGUCGUGCCAGAGGCUACCUCGACAGCGGAGCUAACCAGAAACCAACAAACUAACCUUCAAACUUAUUCCUCUCAACCUCCACCUCCUAAAUCUGAACUCUACUUAACCUAAUUUUCCUGGAAUCGAAAGAAUCACAGCGUUUAAAUUUCUCAGGUUAGGGUUUUAAUUUCUUAAGCCAAACACUACAUGUUAGUAACUUAGGCAAGGUGAAAAGGAAGACUCGAGACUAACCUACAGAACAGAGAUUUGCUCCGGUCGGAGUCAAAUUCGAUACAGAUGCGGAUGAAGACUAACACUGCAAGAGUUUUAUGGAAGAGCAAAGCUUGGCUUUGAAAGAAAUGGUGACAUGAAGCAUGAAGUGCAUGAUCAUGAAGUUGGUGGAUGAAGAAAUUUGGACUAGGUUCAAUUCUUAACUGGUUGGAUUUUUGGUCAUGAAAAGUGUGGUUGAAUAUGAAUGUUAGGAACUUAGAUUAGACAUUAGUUCAUGCUUGUUUGGGAUGGUUUUGUAAUUUGUAAUGUGUUUUCCAUGGAAACUAUGUAUGAACAUGGCUUUCUAAAUGAAAGUCUUGAAAGUUUAUGGAAUUAUAUGGAAAGUCCCAUUGAAUUUUGAAA